UCCCUUGAAAAAUAGCUUAAUUUUGCUAAUUUUUCUCCUUCCCCUUAUUUUUGUGCCGACCAUGCCUUUUAACCUAGGUUCAAAUAUCAUUUUUUCACUUAUUUUUCAGCCUUAAGUCUAUUUUUCGCCUACCCUAACUGUUCUCCUCUCCUCUCUUAUUUUUCUCUCAAAAUUUCUUCCUUUUUUUCGAAUUUCGUCACAGUUGUGUCGCCCCAUUGUUAGAGUUUUUUUCUUUAGUUUUUAUUAUCCAGCCACCCUAUUGAACGUCUAGACCUCCUAAACCAUCCUUAUUUUCUUCCCUAAAAUUCCCUUUUUUUCGGCUCCUAAUAGCCUCCUUUACUGUCCAUUGCCACCCCCUCUCCCUUGUUCGUAUCAAGGCUGGUAAAUCCUAUUUUUCUUUCUCUGUUCUUAUGCUUUGUGUGCCGAUUUUUGGCUACUAUCAUAUCCAAUAAGUCAUCAUUUCAGCCCUUAAAAUUUUUAUUUUUGGUUGUCCAAAGAUCCCUCCUUGUGCCAGCCCAGAUCUGCCUUUUUUGUCGCCUCAAAUGGUGUUGCCACCCCCUUAGAGCACCAUUGUUUUGGGAUUGUUGUUUCUCUUCAAUUUUUUCCCCUACUAUUUUAAAUUUUUGGAUUUUCCCUCUAUUUGGAUCUGACUUAAACAUUCCUAAUUGAGUAAUUGACUAAUAUAUUCAUCCAACAACUCAGAUCAGGGUAAUGGGUAGUCCAAAGUGUAAACUUGUGCGAGAUCUUGCACUGUUUCUCUUUGUUACUAAUUUCUUCUUUGGUCGAUUGCUUUAAAGUCUGAAUGGGGAUUUUUGGCUACUAAUUUUUGGGGAUUAAUUAUGUUUAGGUGUUGAUUUAAAUGUCUCUUAUCAUCAGUGACUACAGAUCUCUUUUGCACAUAUGUUUCGCAUCAAAUCAGUGUAACAUACGCGUUAAAAGCGUAAGGUCCAAGCUUGGGAGCUUCAUAUCACAAUUCACUUGAGGUUGUAACAUAUUUAUAUUAGUGUUAUUCUAUAAGGAUUUUGGCAUAUACAUAAGGACCUAAUUUGAUUGUGGUAUUUGUAAAAUUUGAUUUGAAAAUUUAAGUUGUUUUAAUGUAAUUAUUUAAAUUUUAUUUCA
This is a long non-coding RNA of Gossypium raimondii (Peruvian cotton), 1119 nucleotides long. RefSeq lists it as uncharacterized. The transcript has 2 exons. Lineage: Eukaryota; Viridiplantae; Streptophyta; Magnoliopsida; Malvales; Malvaceae. The record is from RefSeq and is a predicted model, not a curated record.